UAUUUAAAUUAGGACGUUUAAAUCAUGACAACUCACGGAACAUUUUAGCAUGGUGAUGGAUAUGACAAUGUUAAUGUAUUUGGUCUUGGCGG
Molecule: long non-coding RNA, 92 nt
Organism: Sinocyclocheilus grahami
Lineage: Eukaryota; Metazoa; Chordata; Actinopteri; Cypriniformes; Cyprinidae
Exons: 3
Source: RefSeq, a predicted model, not a curated record